This 1020-nucleotide long non-coding RNA is filed under the name Heterocephalus glaber (naked mole-rat). RNAcentral describes it as "lncRNA (ENSHGLG00100052505.1)". The record is from RNAcentral. Lineage: Eukaryota; Metazoa; Chordata; Mammalia; Rodentia; Bathyergidae.
CGCUCGGCUCUGGCUGCGGCCGCGGCGCCUUUGUCUUUGAGGCGCCUGGGGGCUUCUUCAGCCUUGGCCUGGCCAGGGCCUGGAGGGGCUCCGCGCCCCCGGUUCUUUCCCCGGCGACACCCGGCUCUCUCCUCCCCAGACCUCUAUCCCCACCCACCGCUUUUCGGUUCCCAACCCUGCUCGGAGAAAACUCCCAACACCAUAGCAAAAGAAAUCCACUUCGGAAGCUGAGAUUUCAAACAAAAGCUGCCCGUACCCACAACUCUGAGUCUCCAGCCAGUAACCGAUUUCAACUUUCUCCCUAAGUGAAAGAAGGAAGGUUCAGUCCCUACAACAAAAGCUAACAAGCAGAAAAUUCUUCCAGGAACGGAUCACAAGUGAGCACAGCUCUGUCCUGUAUUCUAAGCUAGUAAUGGAGGUACAGUACGGGAGCUGAAGAGGUCUAGCAGACGUGCUCCAGUCAUCAACUGCAAACAUUUACCUUUGAAGCAACUGGAUGAGCCAGAUUGGUUAUGGUUUGCAUCCAUGUUCGACUUGAUAAAGGGGCAUAAUUUGUGAAAAGCCUUCAGGCAAAAAUCGUACUGAUUAUUCAAAACUAAAUAUUUUAACAUUUCAUUGAGUUAGCUAAUGAAUAAGAAAAACAUCGAAGGCUUCCUGCAGCUCAGAAAGAAUUCUAGUGGCGUGGAAAGCACAAGGAGCAAAGAACAAGAAACUGAAGGACUCCUGCUGAGCAGUUAUUCGCUUGUGAAUAUCUGAAAAUGUAUUCUUCUGUGCGUUAUUUAAAAAUGAAAAAUAAACAUCAUCUUUCCUUGUCUUUUGUUUUUAAAUGAACGUCUGAUAGCUUGCUAAAAAAUUUUUUUCUGAGUAAUUUAUGCGAGAAAGGGCCAAUUCGAAAACGUGUAACUAAUGGGAGAAGUCCACGUAUAAGCCGCAAACAAAUCGGUUUGAAGCCGAGCCCACAGCCCUGCGAGGCGCCACUGCUUCCAAGCUCAGGGAGGAUAACUUCAUCUACCGGCAGUU